Molecule: ribosomal RNA, 443 nt
Filed under: uncultured bacterium
Lineage: Bacteria
Description: partial 16S ribosomal RNA
Rfam family: Bacterial small subunit ribosomal RNA
Source: RNAcentral
CCUACGGGAGGCAGCAGUGGGGAAUGUUGGGCAAUGGGCGCAAGCCUGACCCAGCAACGCCGCGUGAAGGAAGAAGGCUUUCGGGUUGUAAACUUCUUUUCUCAGGGACGAAGCAAGUGACGGUACCUGAGGUAUAAGCCACGGCUAACUAAGUGCCAGCAGCAGCGGUAAUACGUAGGUGGCAAGCGUUAUCCGGAUUUACUGGGUGUAAAGGGCGUGUAGGCGGGGAGGCAAGUCAGAUGUGAAAGCCACGGGCUCAACCUGGAGCCUGCAUUUGAAACUGUGUUUCUUGAGUACUGGAGAGGCAGGCGGAAUUCGUGGUGUAGCGGUGAAAUGCGUAGAUAUUAGGAGGAACGCCAGUGGCGAAGGCGGUCUGCUGGACAGCAACUGACGCUGAGGCGCGAAAGCGUGGGGAGCAAACAGGAUUAGAUACCCCAGUAGUG